Molecule: ribosomal RNA, 484 nt
Filed under: uncultured bacterium
Lineage: Bacteria
Description: partial 16S ribosomal RNA
Rfam family: Bacterial small subunit ribosomal RNA
Source: RNAcentral
AUUGAACGCUGGCGGCAUGCUUUACACAUGCAAGUCGAACGGCAGCGCGGGCUUCGGCCUGGCGUCGAGUGGCGAACGGGUGUGUAAUGCAUUGGUACGUGCCCAGUAUUUUGGGAUAGCCCGGCUAAAGCCGGAUUAAUACCGCAUACGACCUUAUGUUGAAAGCGGGGGACCGAAAGUCCUCCCGCUUUUUGAUCUCCCGUUUUCGGAUUAGCUAGUUGGUUUGGUAAAGGCUUACCAAGGCCACGAUCCGUAGCUGGUCUGCUAGGACGACCAGCCAAACUGGAAGUGAGACACGGCCCAGACUCCUACGGGAGGCAGCAGUGGGGAAUGUUGGACAAUGGGGGCAAGCCUGAUACAGCAAAGCCGCGUGAGGGAAGAAGGACUUCGGGUUGUAAAAAGCUUUUGUUAGGGAAGAAAAAAUGUGGGAUAAUACAACGGGGGGAUGACGGUACCGGAAGAAUAAGCACCGGCUAACUACGUG